Molecule: microRNA, 23 nt
Filed under: Canis lupus familiaris (dog)
Lineage: Eukaryota; Metazoa; Chordata; Mammalia; Carnivora; Canidae
Description: cfa-miR-8834a
Source: miRBase by way of RNAcentral
UGCCGGGCCUGGAGGCUCCGGGG